RNAcentral lists this long non-coding RNA (18439 nucleotides) under Jatropha curcas. Its description in RNAcentral is "long non-coding RNA (JCUR_LNC002120)". Lineage: Eukaryota; Viridiplantae; Streptophyta; Magnoliopsida; Malpighiales; Euphorbiaceae. The record is from RNAcentral.
ACAAAAUCCUUUAACGUGCUGGUUUGGAAAUACUUCUGGUAUUUCUUCUUAAAGGAACAUGGUUUUGAGAAACAGGAGAAAAUGCAGGAUGUGAAGAAGAAUCAAUAGGAGGGAGACAGGUAAUUGAGAAAGUUCAGUAGAACUGGAAAGAGGAAAAUGUGCUGGGUCAGGUAAAGAAACAUCAAAAGCAGUAGAAUAAGGAGGACCAGGAAUAGGAAAAGAAGAUGGAAUAGAUUUUGAAUUAAAAGGAAAAUGAAGAACAAGUGAUAGAGAAAGAGAAGACAGAUUUACUAAAAUAAGACAGUUAUUUUUGCUAAAAUAAGGGGACAAAAAUUACAAAUUAUGUUAGAUAGCAAACUUAACAAGUGAAAAGAAACAACACUGCUCGCUUUUUUCUCUUGAUAGCAAAUUCAAGAGAAAGCAAGUAAAAAUAUAAUAGGUCUCUUUUCGUAACGAAUACUAGUUUCAAAUAUAAUAGGCAAAUAUAAAGCUUGAAAGAAUCACAUUAACUAGUUUCAGAACAAAGCCUGACGAACUAAGUAUCAGAUGUACACAACACAAGAUCGAAAUAACACUCUAUUUGGAAGAAAUUUUACAGAUUUAUCACGUCAAAGGCACAUAAAAUAUGACAGGGAGAGUAAACAAAUGAAAAAUAAACAACCAGUUCCCUCUUAUAAUCGAGUGUGCUGCUUUUCUAUGCCGUGUUCAAUGGGUAUGCAGCAAGUUCAAGAGAAAGAAAGCAAAUAAAACAAUUAAUAUUCCAAAUUAUUGCCAAGGCCAGCUGCAGCAAAUAUAUAGAACCACAAGCUACUGAAUUAAACUCAAAACAGAACAAUACCUCCUGUAACUGCCUAACAAUUAAACUCAACUUUCACCUUGAGAACUUUUAGAGCAGCUCCAAAGCUUUUUUACAAGCAGAUCAUCAUUUACUACCAACUCCACAGUAGUGGCAUCUGCAGAAAGCCCCUUGCCAACCAUUUCAUCAAUUAGUUUUGUUGCCAUUGACAAAUCUUUGAUCCGGAGAUAUCCUUGGACAAUCACAUUAUAAGAGCAACUGUUUGGUAAGCAACCAUGUCCUUCCAUUUUCCUGAACACCUUCAAUGCUUCAUCUAGUAGGGCUUCUUUACUAAGUCCAUUGACCAUUAUAUUGUAUGUGCAACCAUCAGGAUGCAACCCUUCUAUAGAAAGUCUAGAAAACAAUUCCUUUGCGUCUUUAACCUUUCCAGCUUUGAACAUACCAUCAAUUAGAGUACUAUAAACAAUAAGAUCAGGCUUCAAUAAUUUCUUUUGCAUUUCAUGAAAUAGAUCCAAUGCCAUAUCAAGACGGCUAUGCUUACAAAAGCCAUCUAUCAAAAUCGAGUGUAACACCACGUUGGGAGAAUAGCCACUAGCACACAAGUUCUUGAAAAACUUAUAUGCAGCCCAAGGGCUCUUUGCUUGACACAAGCCAUGUAUAGGAGAAUUAUAAGUGAAAUCAUGAGGCAUCAAGCCUUUGCAAGGCAUUUCAUCAAGAAGCCACACUCCCUCACCUAUCCUUUUUCUCUUACAGUAACAAUGAAUCAAGAUGCUGUAGGUAAAAACAUCAGGUGUACAGCCCUUACUUACCAUCAGGUCAAAUAUUUCUCUAGCUUGAUCCACUCGGUUAUAUAAAAGUGAUUUUUAAGCUUUUUCCAGGCAAACUGCGAUGAAGUCCGCACGUAACAUUAAGGUAUAUUAUUUUGAAGUAAUAUGGAUUAAAGUGCAUACUGAGGAAAAUAUCAGCUCCGGGUAUAUUAGAACAAAAAAAAAAAAGCCCACAAAGCAUUAAAAGUAAUUGUUAAUAAUCUAAUGUUUAAUGUUUUAUGUAUAUAUAAUAUAAAAAUAUCAAAGUCCUCAUAGACAAUUAUAAACUUAAAAUACAUAAAAUUCUUGAUGGUCCCAUUAUAAGCACUUUAUUUACUAAUAUAUGUAUAUAUUAAGACAGAUGUACUAAAAUAAGGGAACAAAAAUUACAAAUUAUGUUGGAUAGCAAAUUUAACAAAUGAAAAGAAACAACAGUGCAUCCUUUUUUCUCUUGAUAGCAGAUUCAAAAUAUUGAAUUCAAAUAUAUACAACCACCACAUAUUGAAGGCAAAUAAAAAACUAGUUUGAAAUAUAAUAGGCAAAUAUAAACAACCAGUUCCCUCUUUUAAUCGAGCGUGCUUCUGGGUACGCAGCAAAUUCAAGAGAAAGAAAACAAAUAAAAACAUGGGUACGCAGCAAAUUGAAGAGAAAGAAAGCAAAUAAAAACAGAACAAUACCUCCUGUGACUGCACAACAAUUAUUCCAUCUUAAAAUCUCACUUCAACUUUACACCUUGAGAGUAGCUUUUUCACAAGCAGAUCAUGGUUUACUACCAACUCAACAGUAGUGGCAUCUGCAGAAAACCCCUUGCCAACCAUUUCGUCAAUAAGCUGUUUUGCCAUGGACACAUCAUUGUGGCGGAGAUAUCCUUGGAUAAUCACGUUAUAUGAGCAAUUGUUUGGCAAGCAACCAUUCUCUUCCAUUUUCCUGAACACCUUGAAUGCUUCAUCUAGUAAUCCUUCUUUACUAAGUCCAUUGACCAUUGUAGUGUAUGUGAAAACAUCAGGCUGCAACCCUUCUAUGGAAAGUCUAGAAAACAGUUCCUUUGCAUCUUUAAUCUUUCCAGCUUUGAACAUACCAUCAAUUAGGGUAUUAUAAACAAUAAGGUUAGGCUUCAACAAGUUCUUUUGCAUUUCACGAAAUAGAUCCAACGCCAUAUCAAGACACAUAUGCUUACAAAAGCCGUCUAUCAGAAUUGAGUAGGUUACAUUAUCGGGACAAUGGCCGCUAGCACACAAGUUCUUGAAAACCUUAUGCGCAGCCAAAGGGCUCUUUGCUUUACACAAGCCACGUAUAAGAGAACUAUAAGUAAAAUCAUUAGGCAUCAAGCCGUUGCAAGGCAUUUUAUCAAGAAGCCGCAUUGCCUCAUCUAUCCUUUUUCUCUUACAGUAACAAUGAAUCAAGAUGCUGUAGGUAACAACAGCAGGUGUACAGCCCUUUCUUUUCAUCAGGUCAAAUAUUUCUCUAGCUUGAUCCACUCGGUUGUGUAGACAAUAUCCAUCCAUCAAUGAAUCGUAGGUGAUAACAUUAGGCUCUAUUCCUCCCUGCAUCAUCAAUUUGACUACAUCAUGAGCUUUUGAAACCUUUCCUUCCCUGCAAAGUCCAUCAACCAAAGUAUUGAAGGUAAUUAUAUUUGGUGUGAUGUUUGCUCUCAGCAUUUGGUUAAGCAACAUAAAAGCUUCCUUCCAGCUGCUUGACAUGCACAAACCACGGAUUAAGGUGCUGUAAGUCACAACAUUAGGCAAGAUACCUUCGCUCUUCAUUUUGAAGAAGAGGUCUAAUGCCUCCGCAACCAAUGUGUCCUUGCAGAGGCUGUCAAUGAUAGCACUGUAUGACACCACAUCAGGUUCGCAGCCUUCCUCGACCAUUCUUUUCAGAAUACCAAAGGCAACAGUGGUUUUCCCAAUUUUACAAAGACCAUUCACAAUUGCAUUAUAUGUAUAGACAUCAGGUUGAUAACCUUUUUCAACAAUAUCAUCAAACAAAUCCACAGCUUCACCAAAUUUAUCCUCCCUACAAAGCCCAUGGAUUAAGGUAGUAAGCGUUACAAUGUCAGGCUUAAAACCAAGUUUGAAGAUUUUACCGAUAAGAGAGUACCCAAAAUCCACAUGGUCUAGAUGGCAGAAGCAAUUAAUCAAAAUAUUAAAAGAAUAAAUAUGAUGUGAAAUUCCAAACAUUUCUAUCUGUUUAGAGAGAGAAAUGACAGUAGCAUAAUGUUUCAUUCGAACAAGUGCAGAUAAUAUUUUAUUGAAUUCCAUAACGGGGAGGUGAGGGCUUACUACGAAGCAUCAAAUCAAAAGAAGCCAAAGCCUCAUGAAUGUUAUGGAAAGAAUCAGAUUUGCUUUUACCUCUCAAAUAUGUACUGCUUUUAAAACUACUAUAAGAAACGGAACCAAAAAUAACCAUUGGCCGAUGAACCAGAAAAAUAUUAAGGCAUCUCCGGCUGCUGGUAGACAUCAGCGAUAUCUGCCUCGGCACAAAGCGAAAGAGAAGCAGUUUUCGGGAGAAAUUUGAUGACCUUCCUCUGCGUAAACAGGUUUUGGAAGGAAAUAGUUUUUGCUCUCGUUUAGUCUAAUUUUUUCGAUUUCUUUUCUUCAUUGACGAAAUUGGAUCGGGUCAACCACCAUGAAACCGGACCCAAAAUAUGUCUACUUCUGCAAAACCCAAAAUUGCCCCUACCACAUUUUUACUAAUUUCUUUCUUGGAAAAAUAAAUAGUGAAAUUUCAGUACUUAAAUUCCAACGAAUACAUUUUUACUAAUUUCUUUUUCCUUUUGUGCUUUAAUUUGCAUACAAAUUUGAAAAAUAAUUUUACUGUUUAUUAUCCAACUAUCCAUUAAGGUUGCAACUAGACUCCAAAAUUAGACGGGACUAUUUAAUGGGGAAAUUUAAAAAAAAUUGAAAUCAAAUUUAUAUUUAAUCUUACUUCAUCAGAUUUUGUCUUUUGGCAUGUAUUUUGAGAUCUUUCGCUUAUUAUAUUUGGUAACUAUUUAUUAGUUUAUGUUCUUCAUUUGUCUCGGUAUGUGUCUAAGUAUAUAAUAAUUGUUUUCUUUAUUCUGUAUAUCAGGUAAAAUGUGUUAAUCAUUUUCAUUCUCAUUUAAAUUCAAGGAUUAAUAUAGUCCUUUUUUGAAAUUAGAAGAACAAUUUACAACUGAGAAUCAAUCAGUAUAGAUUAUUAUAAAAUUUAAAUAUCUAGAGAUAAUGCAAUAAUUAAAAUUUCAAAGUAUUAAAGAUUAUAGAAUAGAAAAAAAAAUAUUAAUUUAGAUUUUCAAUAUUUUAUGAUAUUUAUUUAUAAUUUAUAAUCUAUUUAUUUAUAAUAAUAAUAAUAAUAAUAAAUUAUUAUAAUAAUGAUCUAUCUAUACUAUCUAUAUAUAAAUGUGGCCUUAAAGACCCUUAAAAGAUAAUUUAUGCUAUCUAUCUACACUUUGAGCGGAUGGGAAUAGAAUAAUGCUAUCAUUAGCGAGGAGAAAAUUUUUAAUUUGGUAUUUUGAGCUUAGGAGCUGUUUAAAGGGAAGAAUUGCGGAAAGUGUAUAUGAAUCUCAAAGUGGACCCUGUAGAGUGAGUGAAAUUAUCUAGAAUUUGUUUGAUGUAUUUAUUGUUUAUGUUUUGCAGGUGUUAAUUACAAUCUUGGGUCUGAUAAUGCUGUUGAAAAUGCCCGUAUGGUUAUUAAUACCAACUAUUAUGGGACUAAAAAUGUGAUUAAAGCUAUGAUUCCAUUGAUGAGACCUUCAGUUGCAGGUGCUCGUAUUGUUUGUGUAAGCAGCUCACGGCUGGGUAAAUUAGGUGGAAGACGUAAUGUAAGUAAUGCUUUUUCAUGUCUCGUAUCACCCUCAUCUUUAAGAAAUUAUCUUUUAAGGGUCCUUAAUGCUACAUUCUCUGACCUAGUUUUAUCCAUACACUAUUUCUCUAUAAUACACUAUUAAUCUACAUUGUAUAUAAACGUGGGAAAGGGGGAAUAAUGAGAUUUUCUAUAUUAGCCUUAGUUUAAUUAAAAUUUCGAUUAUAUCCUUUUAAUUAGAUUUUUAUUGCAUUAUAAUUAGAGAAAAUAUGAAGGAGAACUUCAUCUUAUUAGAAUAAUUGAUGUCAAUAUCAAAUUUAUAUUUUAUAUAGAGUAAGUAUUGACUUAUUAGAUUAAUAUCAUAGUAUCGUCAAAUUAUAAAAUAUUUUGCAAUACGGUAAAUGCAAAUUUUUAGAUAUUUAUAUAAUUAAUUAAUAAUAACAUUAUAUUUUUUUAUUAAAUAGAGAAGGCAAAAUAUUGUUUUAUUUCAGUUAGAUUUUACAUCUUAAGACAUGUUAAAAAAAAUAUUCAUUAUAUUAUUUAAUUUAAAUAAGAAUUUAUAAUUCAAUAUUAUAUAAAUAAAAAAUUAAAUGAAUAUAUAGCGAGCAAAAUCAAUGUGCAACGCACGUCAUAAAAGAAUUAGUAGCAUUAAAAGUAGUAAAUUCAUUAUUAAUACUCUAAUGUUUAAUGUUUUAUGUGUAUGUAAUAUAAAAAUGGUCAAAUACAUAGAUUGCCUCUUGAACUUUGAUAAAUUAACCCUACGGCACCCCCAACUUUACGGGGAACUAAUUAUCCACCUGAAGUCAAAAAUUUUGCACCAAGUAAACACCUUCCAACAUUGGCAACCGUGUGUGUAUUACAAAUAAGCUGAGUAGGAUAAGUAAAUAAAAAUGGACCCAAUUUUAUUUACAUAUCAACAAUUUUAAAAAUAAAAAAAUAACCUCACCAAUCCCCAUCCAUAAGCCUCUCUCUCACCCCCCAACGAUUGCAUUAAACAAAAAAUAGAGCAUUUCCGUUUAUAAUACGAAAUAUAGAGAAAUGGCAAAGACAUUCGAAAACCCUACCUCUUUUUUAUAUCAGCAGCUAUUGCCAUGAAAGCCUGUUCUACAUUUGUAGCAUUUUUUGCACUCAUCUCCACUAAUAGAACGCCAAUUUACCUGCAAACAUAUUAAUUUGUUGAAUUCAACACGUCAUAAAUGAAGGUCAAAUUAAGGGUUUUGUUGUUAGUAUGAGAAGGUUUUCCACACUAGAUGACUAACUCAAAAAAGCUAAUGCAAUGGUCAUUAUAAGCUCUCAAAAAUUAAAAUGUUGCCCUUUUUGCCUAGGACACGUGAGUGAUGACAAUGAAACCUGUUAUGUAUGGGUUAGUAGAUUAAAAAGUGCAAGGGAGAGAGACAAAAGGAUAUAAAAAAAAAUUGAGGUAACUUUAGUUUCAAUACUAUAGGUUCCAUCUUUAUCAAUCUGCCACUUCCUUCAGUGUAGAGCCUUAUUUCUUAAAUAUCACCUUUGUUGUUUUCAAUUUUCCUUCACAAAAGCUACAUUUUCCUUCAAAAGUACUUGUAAAUAGUGGUCACCGUAUAAUCACAAAGUAAAUAAUCAUACAAUGUAUUCUCGCUCCAAAUCACAGCUAUGUUUUUAUUAGCUGCAGACUAGGAAUAUCUUGCAGUUGUGCCGGAUUGUCUCCUAAAAAGCAUAUUCAAAUCAGGUCCUUGUUUAUGGCCGGCGCCUUUUUUGACGGUAUGGCAUUGGGCGCACUUCGUAAUGAAGAUCUUCUCUCCAGCAUUAGGAUCGUCGGGCGGUGUUUGCUCAAAUGUUGCCACUUUGAGCUCUUUAAAAAUGAAAUUUUAUUUUUAAAACAACAAAACAAUGUUACUUUUUUAUGUUUAAAAUUGCUCAUGUGUAAAUGAAAUUGGGUCCCAUUUCCAUUAAUUUAUCCUACCCAUCUUCUUUACUACAUAUGCGCCCUUGCGAGCAUGGAAAAGUGUUUACUUGGUGUAAAAUUUUCUAAUUCAGGUAUAUAAUUGGUCUUUUGUAAAGUUGAGAGUACCGUAUGAUUAAUUUGUCAUAGUUUAGAGGCAAUGUAUUUAUUUGUCCAUAUAAAAUGAAAAGAAAGGAAAAAAUUAUCUAAAUUGUUAAAAAAAUAACGUGAGCCAAAAUGCUAGUGGUAAUGACUUAGUUGUAGUAACAGUGUAUUAUUUAGUGCAUUAGAAAAAUAAACAUAUUCAUAUACUCAGAUCUUUAAAACCCAAAAAGAUGACCCAAAAUAGAAAUAUAUAGUUAUAGUUUUUUUUUCAAUUUCCAAAUAUUAUUUUCCUUAGAAUAAAACAAAUCUAGGAUAUAAGAGAUUGAAAUUAAAAAUAUUUUAUCAAUAGGCUAUCUAUUUAUUGUAAUAGAGAUACAAAUAUAUUAUAAAGGAACAUGAUAGUAUAUAAAAUUGAUUGAGUAAUGGAAAAAAAAAUAGAAAAUAAAAGAUUAUUUCCAAAAGGCAACAUAUAAUAAGAAAAAAACUACUUUAAAAAAAAUACCAAUUUGAAUCUUAAAAAUUGCCUCUCCUUUAACUGGAAAAGCGAUGAUUUAAUGAAAUUUUAUUUUGAUGAAAAAAAGAUUAAAACCAAAAUAAAUAUAUAUAUCCAAUCAAAUUAUACAAAUAUAAAGAAAAAAUAAUAUUAAAAAUAACGAAUUUUUUUUUUCUUUUCUUUCCCCCCUCUAAAAUAACAACUUUUAAAUCACAAUCAAAUAAUAAAACCAAAUAUUUAAAAAUAACUUUGAAAGUCAAAAUGUAAAAUUUUUCAAAUUCCUCAAUCAUAUAUAUUUAUUUAAACAAAAUAAAUUAAAAUAAAUUAAAAUUUAUAAAUUUUGAAAGGCUUAAUUAUCUAUAUGUAUUUAUUUAAAAGUUUAGUUUUAAUAAAAUAUAUCCAAUAAAAUCAAAGAAAAAGUUAAAAUAUCAAUUUUGUAUAAACCAAAUUGUAGGAAAUAAAGAAUAUAAAAAUUUAAAAAUAAAUAUUUUCUAAAAAAUAAAUAAAAAUUAAUAAUUUUCAAUGGCUUAAUUAUGUGUAAAUGUAUAUUUAAUAAUAAAUUUAUAAAAAAGUACAACCAAAUUAUAAAAGAAUUAAAAAAUUCCUAAUCAAAAUAUUUUAAAUUACAAUCAAAUAUUAUAUAUUUUUAAUAUUUUUUACUUAUAUUUAUCUCUCUCCUAAUCAAAAUAUUUAAAGUUAUCAUUAAAUAUUAUAAAUAUGUUUUUAAGAUAAAAUUUUUUAAUUAGCUGUGACUAAGGUUAUUUUAUAAUAUUUUAAAUUUCAUCAAGAAUAUUAUCAAAAAUCUCAUUAUUCCCCCCUAUUUUCAUAUUUAUAUAUAAUUUAGAUUAAUUAGAAAGAAGUAUUUUCUAAUGCUCUUAUUUAAGUUUCAAGGCGUCAAUUAAUAAUCUUAAUCUCACAAUUUAUAAACAAAAUGUUAAAGCUAAUUGCAUUAUCCUCAGCAUAAAUUAAAAAUUAAAUAAAUAAUAGAAUGCAUAUUUGAAAAUCAUACAUUUUCUUAUUGUUAUAAAUUAUUUUGUCAAUAUAUUUCUAAAAUUGUAUAGAUUUCUUGAACUUUUAACUAUUUAGUUGUAAUGAUAAAUGCAAAUUACAAGCAAAUAAAUCAAUUGCAGGCCAUCAUACCUUGCUCCUUCAACCACCUUGACCUGUGGAUCUUCAUAUCCCUCGUUGUUCCACCCUGCAAUAAUUUUGAGAAUAAGCUGUUAGGACUACCACAAAAGGUCUUGGAGCUUAAAGAGCAUCAUAGAACAGGUUGGGAUUGCAGUUGGAAUAAGCAUGCUUCCAACUUUUUUUUUUUUUUUUUGUUGAAUAUGUUGUUUCAAAUAUAUAUUAAAGCCCGAGAUGCUAUCUAACAUAUCAAUUUUUAUUUUUAGUUUUAGUGAAUUGAUAUUAAAGUAAAUUUAAUUUUGUAUCUAUAUAAAUAAGGAGUGAAAAAGAAACGAAAAAGUUUUCAAAAAGACUUCUAGGGUUUCAGGGCUUCUGAAUGAAGUUUGAUCCGGCUGCUAAGGCCCCUCCGCCACCUUUAACUUUUGAUUGUGCUACUAAAAAGGUACACCACUGAUCCGAUGCACUCCCUCAGUUUCAACCUAAUGUUUCUUUUCAAGACAAAGUGGUGUUUGGACAAAGUGAUGAUGCCGAUAUGGAGUUUGAGGAGGAGAACGUAGAUGUUAUGGGGGGUGAUGUUACUAUAGUCAAUUAUGGGGACAUUCCAGAAGUAACUAUCUCUCGUCGUUGGAAUGAUCAGUUGUCCAACUGUUGGAACAGGACAAUUAUUAUAUUUACUCGUAUCCAGUCUUUAUGGCACCCUAGUUUUCAUCACGUCUGGGAACUGGGGAAUGGUUAUUUCAUGGUAAAGUUCUCUAAUGAAACUGAUUAUCAACAAGCACCCCUAGAUGGCCCUUGGACUAAGUUUGGGAUUUAUCUCAUGGUGGAGCCUUGGCACCCAAGUUUCAAUUUGCAUGACUCUUCCAGUAAGGCAAUUACUGUAUGGGCUAGAUUGCCUGGUUUGUCUCUUCACUUAUAUCAUAAAGCUGUUCUUCGUGCUAUUGGUGUGGCUAUUGGUAGAGUUGUAAAAAUUGACUAUAAUACUAAGGACCUUAAGCGAGGCAAGUUUGCUCGCAUCGCUGUUUCUAUUAACCCGUAGAAGCCCCUUGUGGCUUAAUUCAAGUUUAAUGGACACACUUAGAAGUUCGAAUACAAAAGUCUCCCAUAAUUCUGUUAUGAGUGUGGACUAUUAGGGCAUCGAGUAAAUUACUGGUAGUUUAAAACUCCUGAAGCCGAGAUGGAGAACCCCAAACCGAAUAUUGUGCUUCCAGAAGCUCUGACUUCAGUAGGCCCUUAGUAUGGGCCCUGGAUGGCUGUCUCGAGGUGAGGUAGGAAAUCAACGACCUAGAAGGAGAAGACAUCUAAGGCUUUUGCUAAAAGAUUUUCAGUGUUAGUUGAUGAGCAUAAUGGCGUUAUUAUAAAUAAUGACAACGAGCCUGAUAGUUAUAACUUGCAUGGAAACAGGUUGAAUAGGGUUACUUCACCUUCACGUAUUAAUGGCUCUAGCAUGGGAGGACUAAUUCCCAACGAGGCACAUGAGUUGUAAAACGAAAGCACCCUUUUAACAGACAUGGUUUUGAAAAUUUCACUAACCUUAAUGAGGAUAAGGGGGAAUUUUUCAUUUUCUGGAAAAAAAGAAGUGUUGUGGCGGAGCCGAUCUUGGAUCUUGCACGUCAUACAUUUGCUUCUUUGGGCAUUAAAAUCCCAGUUGGCUCUACGCUUGUUGUUCCAAUUCCUUGUGACGAGUCUUACCCUCACUAGGUGUCUUCUGCCCCCUCUUUUGGUAUCUAUGAAAAUCAUCAACGUCCUCCUCACCUGGUGGGUAUGGACUUUGGCAAUGAUCAUCAUUUUGAAUCAAGUAGUUUGGUGGUGCCGAAAUCAGAUAUGGUUACUGAAGAUAUGUCUCAUGCUAGUCCUGAGAAUGAAGAUGGUGAUGAGGAUUAUUCUAGGGCAGAGGAGGAUGGGCGAGAUCCUUAUUUAAGUGAUUAAUCUUUCUUUUUGAAUUUUUAUGUUGUUUUUUAUCUGGAACUACCAAGGUGCCAUGGGUACCUCCUUGAAUUUUUACGUUUUCAGAUUCAGAUGUAUCAGCCUUCUUUUCUUAUUCUCUUGGAGAUAAGAAUUAGUGGCAUUCAUCUAGAUAAAGUUAUUAAUAAGUUAGGUUUUGGCUUUUCGUAUAGAGUUGAAGCAGUUGGUUUCUCUGGCAGUAUUUGGGUGUGUGGAGACAUGGUUUCUCAAUUGAAGUGUUAGAAAAUCAUCAUCAGUACAUGCAUACUAAAAUUUCACGGAAUGGUUUAUUUAUCAUGCGCUUUACUAUUGUGUAUGGUAGCCCAGUUGAGAGUGUACGCAAGGUCUUAUGAGACCAGCUUAAAAUUAUUAGUAGCACUUGUUCUAUUCCCUAGAUGUUGGCUAGGGAUUUUAAUUCUCUUCUUGCUGCUUUUGAGAGUCAAGGUGAGUUGCGGAAUCGUUUGGGCAUUUGCCACAGUUUUGUUUCUUGUUUUAAUGGUUUGAAGCUCCUUGACUUGGGUUUUAAAAGACCUCGGUUUACGUGGACAUGAGGUUCUUUAUACCAGCGCCUGGAUCGGGCAUUAUGUAAUGAAGCUUGGUGGGUAGCAUUUUCUAAGGCUAGUAUGUUGCAUUUAUCUAGAAUCCAUUCGGAUUAAAGACCUUUGCUCCUUCAUUUUGAUGGUACCUCUAGUCCUAACGCUGCUAGACACAAGUUUUUUUUUCAAGCUGCCUAGCUGUUGUAUGAUGGUUUUGAUGCGUUUGUUCGGUCCUCUUGGAUUUCGGAUCCUUCUCUUAUGACUUCGAAUCUGCAAUUUUACUAUGCAGCUAAAACUUUGGAAUAAAGACAUUUUUGGUAAUGUCUUUCAUAGGAAGCGGGUCCUUCUUAACCGCAUUGUUGGUAUGCAAUGUUAUCUUAAAAAGAAGCAUUCUUUUUAUCUUUUGGAGUUGGAGUCUUCUCUUAGGGCAGAAUUGGAUAUGAUUGUCCAUCAAGAGAAAUUGAUUUGGUAUCAAAAAUCUCGUGCAGAUUGGUUGCAAUGGGAUGACAGAAAUUUGUCCUAUUUUCAUUUGAAAACCUUACAGGUAGGAAAAAGAAUCGAAUUGAAAUGUUGAAGGAUGAUCAUGGCAAUUGGAUUUCUGAUCAUGUGGGUCUUAAACAACUUGCUAUGGAAUUUUUUUCUAAUCUUUAUAGCGUGGAGGGAUCUCAUGUUCCCAGUCUUCCAGUUUCAGGCAUGUUUCCCACCCUUUCUGAUGAUAUCUUGAUGGAUCUUUCGUCUCUUGUGACAGAGUUAGAGGUGCUAAAUGCUGCUUUUAGUAUGAAGCCUUAAAAACACCCUAGUCAUGAUGGUCUCCAUGCAGGUUUUUUUCAGAAAUACUGGUCUAUUGUUGCUCCCAAUAUAUUGUUCUGAGGGUCGUAAUUUUUUUGAAGGAAAGGAUGUUGACCUUGCUCUUAAUGAGACUACCUUAGUUCUUAUUCCGAAGGUCGAUAGCCCAUCCAUGAUUCAUCAAUUUCAGCCUAUUAGUCUUUGAACGAUUGUUUAUAAGAUUAUUUUACUAAGGUGAUCGUUAACAGAAUUAAGGUCUUUCUUCCGCAAGAGAUUGGUCCUACUCAAACGAGCUUUCUUCCUGGAUGACAGAUUACGGAUAAUAUAUUAUUGCUCAGGAGGAGAUUCAUACUAUGCGAAGGAAAAGGGCAAGAAGGGUUUUAUUGCAUUAAAAUUGAUCUUGAGAAAGCAUAUGUCCAUAUUUGAUGGGACUUUCUUCUAGACUCGUUGAAUGAUUUGGGUUUUUUUGCCUCGCUCUCUCAGGUUAUUAUGAAUUGUGUUUCUAAGCCCUCCAUGCAAGUUCGAUGCAUGGUGAAUUAAAUGGUUGAAUCACCAAACACACCUACCAGCAUAUAUUAUUGCUGGUAGGGUUUUCUAUGCGAAGGAAAACCCUACUCAAACGAGCUUUCUUCCUGGAUGACAGAUUCCGGAUAAUAUAUUAUUGCUCAGGAGGAGAUUCAUACUAUGCGAAGGAAAAGGGCAAGAAGGGUUUUAUUGCAUUAAAAUUGAUCUUGAGAAAGCAUAUGCCCAUAUUUGAUGGGACUUUCUUCUAGACUUCUUGAAUGAUUUGGGUUUGUUUGCUUCGCUCUCUCAGGUUAUUAUGAAUUGUGUUUCUAAGCCCUCCAUGCAAGUUCGAUGGCAUGGUGAAUUAAAUGGUUGAAUCACCAAACACACCUACCAGCAUAUUCUGGAUAAGGUUUCAAAUCGUCUCAGUGGGUGGUCUACUUUUCAGUUUGUCUCUGGCAGGCAGAAUCACUCUCUCAAUCGGUGAUUGUUGCUAUGCUGAUUUUCUCUAUAUGGAUCACAUGCCCGCCGCAGACUAUCUGCAAUUCUAUUGAUAAAGCUUGUCGCAAUUUUGUUUGGGGCUCGUCAACUAAUCAUCAAAAGGAAGCUCUUGUUCCUUAGCAUAGGGUCCAAACUUCGAAAUUGGUAGGAGGUUUGGGUUUUUGCAACUUGACUACUUUUAACUCAACGUUUAUGAUGAAAUUAUGUUGGGGUCUCAUUUCUAAGUUGGAUGCUCUUUGGGUCCAAAUUUUACGCUCAAAGUACAACAUGGGAAGGGAUUUGAUCCCUGUUGAGUUUUCUAGUUCUGCGCAAUGGUGGCGAGGGGUAUUUGUCGUGCUAUGCCCGUUGUUAAAACGAGAAUGGUUUUGGCUUUGGGUGAUGCUACUUUGGUUCAUUUUUGGUUGGAUGCCUGGUUGGAGGUGGGUCUUGUCUUGAUUGAUCAUGCCAUUUCUCUAGUUCGUACUGCUUUGUGAAUGGACACUGUAAAUUUAUAUGUUACUAGCUUAGGGCGCUGGACCCUUGAGUUUCUUAGUGAUUUCCUACUGUUUUUGUCACUGUUAUUUUUAACUUGAUUUGUAUUUGAUACAUAAUUUAAUCCUGAAUUUCAUACGAAAAAUAAAUAAUGAUAGUAUUAAACAUAACCAAUAGUCUAGUUAUCAGAUUAAUUACAGAUAAUAUUUUCUCUUGUAUUGAUUAAUCUUUCCAUUGUUUUCAAUAUAAAUAAUUUAUUCAAAAAGAUUUAUUUAACACAUACUAUGGAAUAACAGAGAAAAAAUUUAUGUUGAAAAAUACAUUUAAUUUCUUGAUUUACUUUAUAUUUGGAAAUGCAUGUUAUUUUUUUUCCUAUUAUUAUUACUUUUGCAGUAAUUAGUAUUAUAUAAAAACUAAAACUAGAAAGUUAUGGAAAUAAUUUGAAAUUCAUAAUAAAAAAAAGACAAUUAAAAUUUUAAAGAAAAAAUGGGAUGAAAAUUUUCGAUUUUCGGAACAAAAUAGGAUGGGACAGAACUUGAAUCGAUAUGCAGUUUUAAUCAAAGAACUAAUCUCAUCCCAUAAUUACUUUCUGAAUGGGAUUUGUGACUAGACAAUAAAAUUAAUAUCGGAGGAUUUUUCUUGAGAUGAAAAAUUUGAAAUAGUUUUCGGGAACAGAUCGAGAUUCUCACAGUUCCAUGCUCACCCCUAGUGAAAUAACUGAGCCUAACCAGUACCGUUUUUUGAUUACGUAAAGUAAUUUGGCAAGAAAAUCACCAAAUGGUGGAUAAUCUUGCUUAUUCUUUUUUCUUUAAUAAACUUAACUCUUUAAUUUUGUAACUCAGGUUCAACACGAAUUCACUCAACGCGCAACACGAUUAGAGUCAACAUGAACACGAUCAAUUUAAUAAUUGUAUUAAAUUUAUCAACACGAAUACGACACGAAAAUUAAAUAGGUGAUACAAACAUGACACGUUUAACCCCCCUAAUAUAAUAAACAAGUUAAGUAGGUCGUAUUAAUCAAUGUACAACCCAUGUAACCUGCUUAAUAUCAUAAAUAGAUUAAGUGAGUCGUGUUAAUCUGUACACAAUCCACUUAACCUACUUAUAAUAUUUUAAAAUUUUAACCUAUUUAACUCCAAUCAUAUUUAAAAAUAAAUUUACAUACGUAAAAUGCAUAAAUUCUUCAAGAUUCAUAACUAAAAUAAAAAAGUUACAACAAUAAAAUUUAAAUAAGUUUUAGUUGGAGUAUUUAUAUCUAAUACUAAAAUUACCUCUUUACUCUUAUAUAAAUGGGUCACUCGCUUAACCCGCGUGUCAAUAUGCGACACGACACGUUUAUAUUCGUGUCAUAAAUGGAUGACUCAUUUAUGACAUGAACUCGUUUAACUUCAAUCCUAACUCAUUUAUUUCGCAUGUUAGGCAAAUCUUGUUCGCCUGAUAUGAUAUAUUUUGAUACCCCUAAUAUGACCUACAUCAGCAAAUGCCUGCACACUAUUAAUAUCUUUUUCAAUAGUGAUAAUAAUUUUGAGAAUUUAAUUAAUUAUAUUGAAAUAAGAAAUUAAGUAUUUUUUUUUAUUUUAUGUUUAUGACUUAUUAUACAUGAAUAUUGUUUAUUUACUUGAAAUAUUAACGUAUUGUUCUCGUAUUUUCUGUCCCGUGUCCAUGCAAUCUAGCCCCUUGUGUAUGAGACUACUUCACACAUCAAGCAACUCAAUUAAGAUUUUUUUUUUAUUACCACAAAAAUAAGUGUUUUUUUUUUAAUUUAUUUAUGUGUCUUUUUCUUUUAUUAAUGAAAGAUAAGAAAAAAUAAGAAGGAACUAAAUUUUUUUAAAAAAAAAAACUUAUGUUACUUAUUUUUCUAGAUAUAAAAAAAAAUUAAUAAAGGAAAGAAAACGCAGAGAGUAAAGAGUUGAGAUUAGAAGUGAAUUCUUACAAUGAUCAAUUUCAACCAAAGCGUGACUCUAAACGAAAGGGAGAGUUUAUUGAAUUAAAAAACUCAUGAACAUGAACAAAAAAAAUUAGGCUGGCCAAUUAAUUGAAUACUACAACAAUUAUUCCAACUUUACACCUUCAGAACUUGUAGAGCAGCUGAUUAGCUUUUUCACAAGCAGAUCAUUGUUUACUAUCAACUCCACGGUAGUAGCAUCUGCAGAAAACCCCUUGCCAACCAUUUCGUCAAUAAGUUGUUUUGCCACGGACACAUCCUUGUGUUGGAGAUAUCCUUGGAUAAUCACAUUAUAAGAGCAAACUGUUCAGUAAGCAACCAUUCCCUUCCAUUUUCCUGAACACCGGUAAUGCUGCAUCUAGUAAUCCUUCUUUACUAAGUCCAUUAACCAUUACAGUGUAUAUGCAAACAUCAGGCUGUAACUUUUCUACGGAAAGUUUAGGAAACAGUUCCUUUGCAUAUUUAAUCUUUCCAGUUUUGAACAUACCAUCAAAUAAGGUAAACAAUAAGAUCAGGCUUCAACAAGUUAUUUUGCAUUUCACGAAAUAGAUCCAACACCAUAUCAAGAUAUCUUAUGCACAGCCCAAGGACUCUUUGCUUUACACAAGCCAUGCAUAAGAGAAUUAUAAGUGAAAUUAUCAGGCUUCAAGCCUUUGCAAGGCAUUUCAUCAAGAAGCCGCAUUGCUUUAUCUAUCCUUUUUCUCUUACAGUAACAAUGAAUCAAGAUGCUUUAGGUAACAACAGUAGGUGUACAGCCCUUUCUUACCAUUAGGUUAAAAAUUUUUCUAGCUUGAUCCACUUGGUUGUACAGACAAUAUUCGUCCAUCAAUGAACCGUAGGUGAUAACAUGAGACUCUAUUCCUCCCUGCAUCAUCAAUUUGACUGCUUCAUGAGCUUUUCCUUUCCUUCCAUAUAAAGUCCAUCAACCAAAGUAUUGUAAGGUAAUUAUAUUUGGUGCGACGUUUGCUCUCAACAUUUGGUUAAGCAACAUAAAAGCUUCCUUCCAUCUGCUUGACAUACAGAAACCAUGGAUUAAGGUGCUGUAGGUCACAACAUCAGGCAAGAUACUUUCGCUCUUUAUUUUCAAGAAGAGGUCUAAUGCCUCGGCAACCAAUGUGUCCUUGCAGAGGCUGUCAAUGAUAGCACUGGAUGGCACCAAAUUAGGCAGGCAACCUUCCUCGACCAUUCACAAUCACAGUAUAGGUAUAACAUCAGGUUGAUACCCUUUUUCAACAAUAUCAUCAAACAAAUCCAUAGCUUCACCAAUUUGUUUCUCUCAUGUGGCUAUUGAUUAUCUUCUCAUUAGAAUUGCUCAUUAUGUAACAAUUAUCUUAUUUAUCCUAUAUAUUAAGCAGCAUGUGAUAAUAAUUUUCUCAUUUUUACGUUUUCAGGAGACGUUUUGCACUUCAUUUUAGCUUACCUUAAUAUAUAUGUCUUUAUGAGACUGAACAAGCUGAAACAAUAAUAGAAAGAAAAGAGAAAACUGGAACAAUGUUAUAUAUUGAUAAUCGAGAGAGGGUAAAGUGUUUACUUAUAUAAAAGUCCUAUAAAAGUUAAGCUGUAUAUAGCUGAAUUAUACAAUAAUACAAAUAAUAUUCUACUUUUUAGACUUCCAAGAGACUAAUGCAUCACCAAGAAAUACACAAAAUCCUAUGAGAGAACUCCUUGUAAAGGAACAUGAUGCCCUGUCUGCAUAACGGUAAGCUUGGAGCUGCAAAUUAUUAGAAGCAAAGAAAAACAAACCCCUUGAGGGACAACCAUUUAAAUACUUAACAAGAUACAGAGCAACCAAAAGAUAAGGUCGUCUAGAAGAAGACAUCAAUUGAUUGAGAUGGUGAACAUAGUAAUUCAAGUCAGGUCUUGUUAAAGGGAAUAAAGUAGUUCACCAACAUCUAAAAGUUCUCCUUCAUCUAGAGAUUUAAGACCUCUAGGAAGAGGAGAUAAUGAAGCCUUAGCAUCUUGCAAACCAGUUUCAUGAACCACAUCAAGAAUAAAUUUUUGCUAACUAAUAAUAGUGCCGUAUCAGACCUGGCUAUUUCAAUACCCAGAAAGUAUUUUGCAGAACCAAGAUCCUUCUUAAAGAAUUUACCAUCAAGAGAUUGUUUAACAGAAGUAAUAGCACCCAUAUCAGUUCUAGUAAUUAUAACAUCAACAUAUACCAGAAUAACAAGAAAAUGAUUAUCAAUAGAUCUUAUAAAUGAACACUGAUCAUGAGUAGAUUGACAAAACCCCAAUUUCAAAAUAAAGGUAGUAAAUUCAAGGUUUCAUUGCCUGGAAGCUUGUCUAAGACCAUAAACAGAUCUUUUUGACAUAACUCCACUAGGCUUAUAUUUGAUCUUAAAAAUCCAAGUACCAUUAUUUUCUAAAGCAGUCAAUUCUUCUGUCAUUGCCUUAACCCAAUUAGGAUCUUUUGAGGCUUUAAGGUAAGUGGUUGGUUCAUGAAUUCUAGCUAUUUAAAUGAAAGCUAAAUGAACUUGAAUCAGUACUGGAGAGAACUAACUUGAUGGAGAAAUGACAAUAUUGACAAAAUCCUUUAACGUGCUGGUUUGGAAAUACUUCUGGUAUUUCUUCUUAAAGGAACAUGGUUUUGCGAAACAGGAGAAAAUGCAGGAUGUGAAGAAGAAUCAAUAGGAGGGAGACAGGUAAUUGAGAGAGUUCAGUGAACUGGAAAGAGGAAAAUGUGCUGGAUCAGGUAAAGAAACAUCAAAAGCAGUAGAAUAAGGAGGACCAGGAAC